Molecule: ribosomal RNA, 1218 nt
Filed under: Latilactobacillus sakei
Lineage: Bacteria; Bacillati; Bacillota; Bacilli; Lactobacillales; Lactobacillaceae
Description: bacterial SSU rRNA
Rfam family: Bacterial small subunit ribosomal RNA
Source: RNAcentral
CGGAUUGCGGGUGCUAUACAUGCAAGUCGAACGCACUCUCGUUUAGAUUGAAGGAGCUUGCUCCUGAUUGAUAAACAUUUGAGUGAGUGGCGGACGGGUGAGUAACACGUGGGUAACCUGCCCUAAAGUGGGGGAUAACAUUUGGAAACAGAUGCUAAUACCGCAUAAAACCUAGCACCGCAUGGUGCAGGGUUGAAAGAUGGUUUCGGCUAUCACUUUAGGAUGGACCCGCGGUGCAUUAGUUAGUUGGUGAGGUAAAGGCUCACCAAGACCGUGAUGCAUAGCCGACCUGAGAGGGUAAUCGGCCACACUGGGACUGAGACACGGCCCAGACUCCUACGGGAGGCAGCAGUAGGGAAUCUUCCACAAUGGACGAAAGUCUGAUGGAGCAACGCCGCGUGAGUGAAGAAGGUUUUCGGAUCGUAAAACUCUGUUGUUGGAGAAGAAUGUAUCUGAUAGUAACUGAUCAGGUAGUGACGGUAUCCAACCAGAAAGCCACGGCUAACUACGUGCCAGCAGCCGCGGUAAUACGUAGGUGGCAAGCGUUGUCCGGAUUUAUUGGGCGUAAAGCGAGCGCAGGCGGUUUCUUAAGUCUGAUGUGAAAGCCUUCGGCUCAACCGAAGAAGUGCAUCGGAAACUGGGAAACUUGAGUGCAGAAGAGGACAGUGGAACUCCAUGUGUAGCGGUGAAAUGCGUAGAUAUAUGGAAGAACACCAGUGGCGAAGGCGGCUGUCUGGUCUGUAACUGACGCUGAGGCUCGAAAGCAUGGGUAGCAAACAGGAUUAGAUACCCUGGUAGUCCAUGCCGUAAACGAUGAGUGCUAGGUGUUGGAGGGUUUCCGCCCUUCAGUGCCGCAGCUAACGCAUUAAGCACUCCGCCUGGGGAGUACGACCGCAAGGUUGAAACUCAAAGGAAUUGACGGGGGCCCGCACAAGCGGUGGAGCAUGUGGUUUAAUUCGAAGCAACGCGAAGAACCUUACCAGGUCUUGACAUCCUUUGACACUCUAGAGAUAGAGCUUUCCCUUCGGGGACAAAGUGACAGGUGGUGCAUGGUUGUCGUCAGCUCGUGUCGUGAGAUGUUGGGUAAGUCCGCACGAGCGCACCCUUAUACUAGUGCAGCAUAGUGGGCACUCUAGUGAGACUGCGUGACAACGAGAGGUGGGACGACGUCAAUCAUCAUGCCUUAUGACUGGCUACACACGUGCUACAAUGGAUGGU